CCUGGCUUCGACGUGGGUUACAAAACCUGCGGUGCAUGCCGAGUGGCAGAAACUCGCUAAUCAGCUGCAAAACUUAUAGUUGCCAACGAAGACAACUACGCACUCGCUGCCUAAACCCCAGUAGGGUGCCCUCUCACUGCUGUUUGCCUGUGGGCGCAGGUUCGAGGGGUCAUCGCACACAGGCUCGUGAUGAAACACGUCCGGGGUGGAUUCACUAAAACUUAACGGAAUCGCUAUCGGUCUUCCCUGCCCGUCGGGUAGCCGCUAGUUAAACUCAAAGACUGGGCUAAGCAUGUAGAGCCAAUGGCGGAGAGCUUGCGGACGCGGGUUCGAUUA
This 336-nucleotide transfer-messenger RNA is filed under the name Gammaproteobacteria bacterium. It matches the Rfam family "transfer-messenger RNA". Rfam says of the family: Bacterial tmRNA, also known as 10Sa RNA or SsrA, is named for its dual tRNA and mRNA-like properties. Its role is to liberate the mRNA from a stalled ribosome. To accomplish this part of the tmRNA is used as a reading frame that ends in a translation stop signal. The record is from RNAcentral. Lineage: Bacteria; Pseudomonadati; Pseudomonadota; Gammaproteobacteria.